RNAcentral lists this ribosomal RNA (852 nucleotides) under uncultured bacterium GT43a. RNAcentral describes it as "bacterial SSU rRNA". It matches the Rfam family "Bacterial small subunit ribosomal RNA", at positions 30 to 898 of the family's 1533-position model. The record is from RNAcentral.
UGAACGUUGGCGGCGUGGAUUAGGCAUGCAAGUCGUACGGGCCGCAAGGCCAGUGGCGCAAGGGUGAGUAAUGCGACGGUAAGCCAACCCCAUGGGUGGGUAUAGCCGCGGGAAACUGCGGGUAAUCCCCAGCGAAGCAAAGCGACCGGCAUCGGUUGUUUGCCAAAGCUCCGACGCCGUGGGACGGGCCGUCGUGGUAUUAGGUAGUUGGGGGGGUAACGGCCCACCAAGCCUACGAUGCCUACCGGGCGUGCGAGCGUGGCCCGGCACACUGGGACUGAGACACUGCCCAGACUCCUACGGGAGGCAGCAGUCGAGAAUUUUCGGCAAUGGGCGCAAGCCUGACCGAGCGACGCCGCGUGGAGGAUGAAGGCCUUCGGGUUGUAAGCUCCUGUCGAGGGGAAAGAAGGCCCGCAAGGGCUUGACUGAUCCCUGGAGGAAGCACGGGCUAAGUUCGUGCCAGCAGCCGCGGUAAUACGAACCGUGCGAACGUUAUUCGGAAUCACUGGGCUUAAAGCGCGUGUAGGCGGGAAUGUACGUCCGUCGCUGAAAUCCCCCGGCUCAACCGGGGAAGUGGCGCGGAUACGGCAUUCCUUGAGGGGCGUAGGGGGACCUGGAACUUCCGGUGGAGCGGUGAAAUGCGUUGAGAUCGGAAGGAACGCCCGUGGCGAAAGCGAGGUCCUGGACGCCUACUGACGCUGAGACGCGAAAGCCAGGGGAGCGAACGGGAUUAGAUACCCCGGUAGUCCUGGCCGUAAACGAUGGGCACUGGGUAGGGGGCUCCCCGAUGGGCCCCCUGCCGUAGCGAAAGCGUGAAGUGCCCCGCCUGGGGAGUAUGGUCGCAAGGCUGAA